Molecule: transfer RNA, 69 nt
Filed under: Urocitellus parryii (Arctic ground squirrel)
Lineage: Eukaryota; Metazoa; Chordata; Mammalia; Rodentia; Sciuridae
Also listed under: 1 other name
Description: Spermophilus parryii (Arctic ground squirrel) tRNA
Rfam family: tRNA
About the family: Transfer RNA (tRNA) molecules are approximately 80 nucleotides in length. Their secondary structure includes four short double-helical elements and three loops (D, anti-codon, and T loops).
Source: Rfam by way of RNAcentral
GGAGUUGUGGCUCAGUGGUAGAGCGCUUGCCUAGCAUGUAUGAGGCCCUGGGUUCAAUCCUCAGCACCA